This is a non-coding RNA of Phlebotomus papatasi, 73 nucleotides long. Lineage: Eukaryota; Metazoa; Arthropoda; Insecta; Diptera; Psychodidae. The record is from Rfam.
GCCUCUAUAGUUCAGUUGGUAGAGCACUCGUCUAGUUAACGAAAGGUCUCCAGUUCGAUUCUGGGUGGAGGCA